GACGAACGCUGGCGGCGUGCUUAACACAUGCAAGUCGAACGGAAAGGCCCUGCUUUUGUGGGGUGCUCGAGUGGCGAACGGGUGAGUAACACGUGGGUAACCUGCCCUUGACUUUGGGAUAACUUCAGGAAACUGGGGCUAAUACCGGAUAGGAGCUCCUGCUGCAUGGUGGGGGUUGGAAAGUUUCGGCGGUUGGGGAUGGACUCGCGGCUUAUCAGCUUGUUGGUGGGGUAGUGGCUUACCAAGGCUUUGACGGGUAGCCGGCCUGAGAGGGUGACCGGCCACAUUGGGACUGAGAUACGGCCCAGACUCCUACGGGAGGCAGCAGUGGGGAAUAUUGCACAAUGGGCGGAAGCCUGAUGCAGCAAUGCCGCGUGCGGGAUGACGGCCUUCGGGUUGUAAACCGCUUUCGCCUGUGACGAAGCGUGAGUGACGGUAAUGGGUAAAGAAGCACCGGCUAACUACGUG
This 468-nucleotide ribosomal RNA is filed under the name uncultured bacterium. Its description in RNAcentral is "partial 16S ribosomal RNA". It matches the Rfam family "Bacterial small subunit ribosomal RNA", at positions 28 to 507 of the family's 1533-position model. The record is from RNAcentral.